GGGUCCGGACACACUGAGGAUUGACAGGUAUUAUAUAGCGCGCUUGCGCGUCUAUUGGUUAAAUAUGCUAGUCCUUUCAUGAUUAUGUGAUAGGUGGUGCAUGGCCGUUCUUAGUUCGUGGAGUGAUCUGUCUGCUUAAUUGCGUUUCAGAUAAGGAUCUAUAUUCUUUACAGAAGUGUUGCGUUUGUGCGCAUUUGACCCCUCGUUCGCGAGUGCGUGUCUUUUCGCGCUCGCACGCUUUUUACAUUAGGUCCUGAAAGCAACGAACGUGACCGCAACCUCUUGUUGCCUCAUCUCCCUACUUUUUUAGCACUUCGGUGUUGAAUAAUUUCAUUGAGGCUUUCCAAAACUAGAGGGACCGCUGUCAACUUCUUAAACCAGAGGAAGGUUGCGGCAAUAACAGGUCUGUGAUGCCCUUAGAUGUUCCGGGCUGCACACGUGCUACAAUGAUUGUUGCAGUGAGCAUCUCAAUUUUUUACCUUAACACCGCACACGUGAGUACGCAUACUUGUAUGUUUACUUUACGCAGCGGUAAAGCCUGCUUC
RNAcentral lists this ribosomal RNA (545 nucleotides) under Globigerinita glutinata. RNAcentral describes it as "bacterial SSU rRNA". It matches the Rfam family "Eukaryotic small subunit ribosomal RNA", at positions 1220 to 1545 of the family's 1831-position model. Lineage: Eukaryota; Foraminifera; Rotaliida; Globigerinitidae. The record is from RNAcentral.